RNAcentral lists this ribosomal RNA (230 nucleotides) under Staphylococcus epidermidis. Its description in RNAcentral is "partial 16S ribosomal RNA". It matches the Rfam family "Bacterial small subunit ribosomal RNA", at positions 342 to 564 of the family's 1533-position model. The record is from RNAcentral. Lineage: Bacteria; Bacillati; Bacillota; Bacilli; Caryophanales; Staphylococcaceae.
CGGGAGGCAGCAGUAGGGAAUCUUCCGCAAUGGGCGAAAGCCUGACGGAGCAACGCCGCGUGAGUGAUGAAGGUCUUCGGAUCGUAAAACUCUGUUAUUAGGGAAGAAUAAAUGUGUAAGUAACUAUGCACGUCUUGACGGUACCUAAUCAGAAAGCCACGGCUAACUACGUGCCAGCAGCCGCGGUAAUACGUAGGUGGCAAGCGUUAUCCGGAAUUAUUGGGCGUAAA